RNAcentral lists this ribosomal RNA (465 nucleotides) under uncultured bacterium. Its description in RNAcentral is "partial 16S ribosomal RNA". It matches the Rfam family "Bacterial small subunit ribosomal RNA", at positions 338 to 795 of the family's 1533-position model. The record is from RNAcentral.
CCUACGGGUGGCAGCAGUGGGGAAUCUUGCGCAAUGGGCGAAAGCCUGACGCAGCGACGCCGCGUGAGGGAUGAAGGUCUUCGGAUCGUAAACCCCUGUCAGCAGGGAAGAACGGUCGCUGUGCUAAUCAGCAGUGAAUUGACGGUACCUGCAAAGGAAGCACCGGCUAACUCCGUGCCAGCAGCCGCGGUAAUACGGAGGGUGCAAGCGUUAAUCGGAAUUACUGGGCGUAAAGCGCACGUAGGCGGUAUGUUAAGUCAAGGGUGAAAUCCCCGCGCUUAACGUGGGAACUGCCUUUGAAACUGGCAGACUGGAGUGUGUGAGAGGAUAGUGGAAUUCCAGGUGUAGGAGUGAAAUCCGUAGAUAUCUGGAGGAACAUCAGUGGCGAAGGCGACUAUCUGGCACAUAACUGACGCUGAGGAGCGAAAGCGUGGGUAGCAAACAGGAUUAGAUACCCUUGUAGUC